This 154-nucleotide unclassified non-coding RNA is filed under the name uncultured Chaetothyriales. RNAcentral describes it as "sequence contains ITS2". Lineage: Eukaryota; Fungi; Ascomycota; Eurotiomycetes; Chaetothyriales. The record is from RNAcentral.
UCAAAGCAUCAAGCUUGGCUUGUCGUUGGGCCCUUUAUCACCGGGUGAUAGGUCCAAAAGAUAAUGAGCGGUGUCGUAAGGACUCUAUAUGCAACGAGCUUUUAACAGCAUGCAUUAGUGGUCAUAUGGCCCGUUUUACCCUUCUAUUUCUCAA